UACGUAGGGUGCAAGCGUUAAUCGGAAUUACUGGGCGUAAAGCGUGCGCAGGCGGUUUUGUAAGUCUGACGUGAAAUCCCCGGGCUCAACCUGGGAAUUGCGUUGGAGACUGCAAGGCUAGAAUCUGGCAGAGGGCGGUAGAAUUCCACGUGUAGCAGUGAAAUGCGUAGAGAUGUGGAGGAACACCGAUGGCGAAGGCAGCCCCCUGGGUCAAGAUUGACGCUCAUGCACGAAAGCGUGGGGAGCAAACAGG
RNAcentral lists this ribosomal RNA (253 nucleotides) under uncultured bacterium. RNAcentral's name for it is "partial 16S ribosomal RNA". It matches the Rfam family "Bacterial small subunit ribosomal RNA", at positions 524 to 776 of the family's 1533-position model. The record is from RNAcentral.